CCGCCUUCGUCGCUCUCCGUGCGGCUCACUUUGUGGCCUCACCUCUGCUGGCCGCGUGCCCUCUUUCCCAGCCGCAGGGCUCCGGUGCCACCCAUUCUUGGUCCAGGGAGUGAUGGUCUCUGGCGUUUGUUGCCUAAAUCACCUUCUCUUCACCUCUGCACUGAUUCAGGUUCUUUCCGAAGUGUUCUAGAAACACCUGAAGAAUAAAUCUAUAGAACUUCUCUGAUAUCUGAUAUCUGAUGAAGAUCACUUCUUUUGAUCAAGCUAUGCUGAUGAUUCUUCAACUUCACAUAUCAGUGGAUCUGCAUAAUGACGUCCAAAGUGAAUUCUAAUCAGAAAAUAAAAGGCCAAGAAAUGAAGCGGCUGUUGGACGGAUGUAGUGGCAAUCCACACCACGGCGGUCCUGCUGACAUACUGGGAACUAGAACCUGUCAGGCC
This is a long non-coding RNA of Bos taurus (domestic cattle), 438 nucleotides long. NCBI's taxonomy places the organism in Eukaryota, Metazoa, Chordata, Mammalia, Artiodactyla, Bovidae. The record is from Ensembl.